This 2441-nucleotide long non-coding RNA is filed under the name Mytilus galloprovincialis (Mediterranean mussel). The record is from RNAcentral. Lineage: Eukaryota; Metazoa; Mollusca; Bivalvia; Mytilida; Mytilidae.
GUAUCUAAGUCAAAUAUGUCAAUUUCUGAAUGCUACAUGUUACAGUCAUAAUAAAUGAAUUAGUAACAUCAUGUGCACCAUUAAAGAGUUUGAAAGUGUUUUAAAGUUAAAGAAACACAAUAAGUGACUGACAAUUUGAUCAAAUUUGUUAUUCUGAAGUAGUCAAUAUACGCGUGUGGAAACACAUUUUAUUGGAUUAGUUAGAGCAUUGGUUUGUUCACAAGACGAAAGAAACACGUUAUAUUAUAAUUUUAUGUAAAUUAUAUUGCUCACUAUGGAUUGUAUCUACUAAACACAAAAAUGUAUUUAGCUGUUCUAUCAAGGCAAUACAAACGAUAGAUCCAGCAACAUAUCAUUUAUGCUAAUAACAAGUUGUUUUUAAACGUAGAUAAAAAGCUGAUUUUGUUUGAUCAUUUGUGUGUCAUUUUUGUGAAUAAGAUCUAACAUUUGAAAUACAAAAGCACAAACAACAGACCGUAGCCAUCACCAGGUCAAAUUGCGUUUUCUGCAUGGUAAGAUGAAUAUGAUCAUGAUUUAAAAUUAUCCUUAAAAUUAAUAAUAAAAAAGUAUCUUCAUGAGAGAGGUAAAGUAAACAUAUGGUGCACACACUAUUACAAAACGUAAUGUUUUACAGGUCUCUUCUAAUAAGAUAAGAUUGUAAAUAUUUAGAUCAUCCCUACAAGGAGUAGUUUCACAAGGCGAAAACAAAUGGUUGAUAUCACUUGUGGAAUGAUGUGUUAGGUUUUUUCUAUGUUGUGUCUUCUGUACUAUUACUUGUCUGGUUGACUUUAUUUUUAGUCAUGGCGUUGUCAGUGUAUGUUCUAUCUAUGAGUUUGACUCUCUGGUAUCUUUUGUCCCUCCUUCAACUUGUAAGAACAUUCUUGUUAUAAUGUUCCUUUUUUUACAGUGAGGACUACAUUGAGUGCGAGAUUUGCAGUAGGUAGGUAUUAUAGUCUUUUAAUAUAUAAAGCCAAGAUUUUGCAUAAAAAAACAGGAUUAUAUUAUCAUAUUUCAUUCGUUGUAAAAAUAUAUCUGUUAACAUUUGUUUGAACCAAUGUUUUAAUGAGGAUCAGUGAAUACCUUAUUAAACGAUAUCAAAUAUAAAGAAGAGUAAUUUCAUCUUCAAGAUAACAUUCAGAAAAGAACUACAAUGUUUUUGUACAUCCGUUGGCAUUUUUUUCCGCCAUCAAAUGAAGCCAGUAUACAGUGUUCAUAUUGUUUUUGUUGAGUAAUACGUUUUAACAAUCUUUCACAUUUCACAAUGAUUUCCUGAAGUAUUUGAUAAACGUUUAUAAACGGAAAGUGCUUUAAUUAAUAUGUUUAAACAAUAUAAAAAAACGCAAAUGUGUGUUUUCAUUUUACAUUUUUUAGUAUGACUACAGCACAUAAAAAAAAAUCACUUAUUUCCAUCAUAAUGUAAUUCUAUUAAACGAGUAUGUUAAUGUAUUGCAGACACAUGCCCUAUAUUGGAACGGUUUCAUUGAGUCAAGGAAAUUGUGUAAUCUUUCUCCAAAAUAUAAUCAAGAUGUUUUCAAUGCUGUUUUGAAAUAGUGUAGUAACUGAAGAGGAAAUUAUAAUUCCAAUGACAACAAACUUAUCUUUCAGUAAAUGUUACUUUUUAUUGUAUGUUGAAUAUAAUUACUGUUUUUUAAUUUGCUUUGUUAGUUGAUAACGUUUGCUUUUGUCAAUCUAUUUAAGAUAAUGUGGAUUCAUUAAUAUUCGUUAGAUACAAAUCUUCGUGGAUUUGGUGGGUACAGGUAAACCACGAAAUUAAAUAUUCAACGAAUAACACAUUUUCCAUAAGCGCGUAUGCAUACUUCUGCAAAAACCGCAAAAUUAAAUAUCAACGAACAUAUAAGUUUUUAUGAAUACACGAAAUUUAAUAUCAUCGAAAAUAAAUGAAUCCACAGUACCUUAAUCUUGAUAUUGCUGUCAGUUGUAUAUUUGUUUCGUUUACAACUUAACAUUUAAUGAAAUGCCAUAUAUAAAUUUCUAUUCAUACUACUUUAGUUAUAAUGUUUAUAUAGAACUGAAACAUCUUUCACCCAAUUCAAGAGUCUAAAAUACUCAUGGAAUGGCAACUCGUGCCAUUGCAAUGUAUGUGCUUAGAUUUUAAUGUAUUAUUAAUGUUACAGCUUUAAAACAUAAUAAUGCUGAUUUUUUUGUGAUUGUUUGAUUAACUUUUUUUAUCACUUGUGAUAACUGUGUUUUAGUUUUUAUGUUGCCUUUAAAUUAGUGCUCAUGCGUGUGUAUAAUAUAUAAUAUUCAAAUUAGUGCAACCUAAAUGUGCAUGAAAUGAAUGUUAUAUGUCUUUUAUAUUUUAAUAUUAUUAUUGUGUACAAUUAUUAUGAAAAUGUAUGUAUGUGACGGUUAUAAAAGCUCAGAGAACUUAUGUUUAUUUGUUAUGUAACUAAAUUGAAUGUAUACAUUUUUUGAUGCUG